AAAUUACCAAUGAUAAAACUCUCACUUUUGUGGAGGUCACUUUCAUAUGUCAUGACACUGUCUGAUGACGAUGUUGCUUUGAAGGUUGUUCAUUAAUGACAUGACUUCUGAAUAUUUCAGGAUGUGUCAUCAGUAUUGUACAGACCCCUAUGGUGGCUGAUUAUUGCCAUCACCAUAUUGCCCUGAAAAGCCAGGCUGUUCUGAAAAGACCAACAGAGAAGUGCUAGUGAAGGAUAUCCUGGGAUGCUGAUGAGACUGAUCCAUGAUACCAGGUGUGAUCACCUUGACAACCACCCAGUACCACAAGCCCUCCAAACUGGAGGAUGGCCAGCUCUCAGCGUGAACUACAUUUACAAUGUGUUUGAAGCUGAGGGCUAGCUAUACAUAUCUUAUAAUGCAUUAUAACCUGUGAAAUAUGGAGGGUCUGUCAUUGAAGACAUGACAGGACAGACUGCUGAGAUCAGUAAUGGCGGAGAGUGGCUGGUGUAUCUUGUAUCUUCCAGCAUGUGAUGUUUUUGGAAUUGGAGUAUUGCAGAGAGUUACAUCAUUAACUGUUUGGUUUGGAUGUUUUUAUUAGGGGUGAAUGCUGUAUGUCAGGUUGCAUGGAAUAUAUCGUCUCCAUUGCCAGUCCUCACAUGAUUUGUGUUUUACCUUGUGCUUCAAAUCAGAUGUCAUAGUUGGGAUGCUUUUAGUGUUGCUGUUUAUGUUGAAGAGACUUAUGGUAAUGUAAGCUGUGGGAUCGGGCCAGCAGCACUUCAUCCGCAGACUUCCAGCGCAAUUGUAGCCAGGUCUGCAUCUCUGGUCUGUUGGUGGUAUAUCUGUAUACAGAUUUUAUGUUGGACAAGUAGUAUUAUUACUUUGCAUCGAUCACAAAGAUAGCUAUUUGGGCGGGACAUGGGUUUCCUGCUGACAGCCAGACAACCACUCGUCAUUAGUGGUCCGUCUGCUGCAUCACGCACAUCGCACCACACCACAUGCACAUCGCACGCCUUACGCACAUCGCACGCCUCACGCACAUCGCACACCUCACGCACACCUCAUGCACACCUCAUGCACAUCGCGUGCCUCACGCACAUCGCACACCUCAUGCACAUUGCACGCCUCACGAACAUCGCACGCCUCAUGCACAUCGCACACAUCACGCACAGUUGAACCCAAUAUGUUUUUUCAGCGUCACUGUGAUUAUUUUGUCUGUUCAUUUGUUGAUCGAAGAAAUUCACUGUGAAGGCGACUCACUCAUUUUAACUUCACUGUAGUCAAAUGUAAUUAUAUUUCAUACAUUUAGAGUGAGUUGACCUGGUCAUCUGAGGGGCUGCAAAUCAUGGUGCAGAGUUGUGUCCCUUGGGCAGGCCAGAACCCAACGACAGAUCAUUUGACAGAGGCACCAGUACUUCACUACAUUCUUACAGUCACAGUGUCUUUUUAGAAUUACCUGAAUACAAUACUGUAGAUUUCAUUUAUAUCGAAACAUCAUGGAAUGUACAAAUGUAAAAACAUGUCAUGUAUUUUCAAGAAAUUUAGCUCUUGCCUACCAAGCACUGAAGAUGUGUGUUUGAUAUUUGCUGUCAAUUUAGGGCAUCUACUUUUAUUAUCAUUUUUAUUUUACAAAAUAGAUAUUUAUGUGAAUGUCAAUGUUAAUCAUCAUGACAACAGAUUGUAUAUAUAUAUAUGAGUGUGGGCCAGACAAUCCUGUGACUGACGUAAGCUGGGGGCCUAGUCUAAUCCAGAAUCCUCACCCGGUUGGAGUUUACAGUAGCCCAGCGAACCUGGGCUAUGUGAAUCCACAGCGAACUGGGGCUACGUGAACCCACAGCGAACCUGGGUUACGUGAACCCACAGCGAACCUGGGUUACGUGAACCCACAGCGAACCUGGGUUACGUGAACCCACAGCGAACCUGGGUUACGUGAACCCACAGCGAACCUGGGUUACGUGAACCCUCAGCACAUACACUGACACAAUGACAGCAUGUUUUUUCUGACACGUAAUUUUCGAAAAAUACAAUUUUAUGCUUAUUUGUAAAUAGCUUGCGGGGUGUAGCAGACUGCCAAUUAUUACACUUUUAUCAUGAGGCAUAUUGUUUUCUUUUCUUCCAUGAUAUAUCAGACAGUUACAUUUUUCUAAAAUGAUUAGGCACUGUCAUCUGAAACUGCAAUUCCCUGUGCAGAGUUGCGUCCCUUGGGUGAGCCAGGAACAUAUGAUUGUAGGUUUGAAUCCUCGUUCACCCUGAUUAUAGAGAUGACAAAACUAUAUGGAGACGAAUGAUUUGUUUGAGUGGCAUUCUAGAAGUUGGUGGAAAAGAGAUACCACCAGAACACCCCCCAGACAAAUCACCCUGACUAUGUUUCUUGGCUUGUCGGACCCAUAUCUAGCUUUUGGGUUCUGUUGCAGUGGUAAAAGCAGACCUGCCUCUCUGUGGAUAUUCCACUGACAAUAACCUUACACAAUCUGAUAUAAUGGAUAUCUGUUAAAAGCAGUAUUAAACCUAACUCACUAAAGUAAAUGAAUUCCCACACGCCAAUGAUUGUUUGAGCUUUAUAUGUGUAUAUGUAUCAAAUGACUGGAGAAUGAAUGACAGGGUUAGUUAAAAAGAAGUUGAAGCACAAUAAACUUUGUGUGUUUAUCAAAUGGUCAACUUGCUGUUCCAUAUCCUUCUAUUAAUGUUUCUAUAGGAAAAGCAUCAAAUGGUUGCAGUUUUCUAAUGUUAGUUUCUGGGUGUUGUGUAUGGAGAAUUCCACUAGUAAGGUGUUGAACUUGUAGUUGGUGGUGGUAACAGGAGACUGGUUGAACUGAUGAAGUCAUUCAGGUUUGUGUCUUGCCACUGUCCCAUAUCUUCCUUCCUUAUCAAUGAAGAUAGUUUUCUGAUAUGUGGCAAGUUACUCAAUGACAACAUGUUUAUUCCCAACAUAUCUGUGAGAGGUGUUGAGAUGAUCUGUGAUCUGCUUUUUUCUGACUUUUCUGCUGAUCUCAGCUGUCCUGACCUUGCAUAUACUACAUGACAUGAUGUUGCAGUAAAUAAAUCGUGAAGGGUUCGCCGUAUGUCGGGAAUAUACUACAUGACAUGAUGUUGCAGUAAAUAAAUCAUGAAGGGUUUGCCGUAUGUCAGGAAGGUUUACCGAUAUACAAAGAAAUAGGAAUACCUAUCUAUUCAAUGCUAUUUCAAUGAAAUUGAUUAAAUGAGUAUCUAAGAAUGAAAUAAAUGUUUUAAAACAGUU
Molecule: long non-coding RNA, 3214 nt
Filed under: Haliotis rubra (blacklip abalone)
Lineage: Eukaryota; Metazoa; Mollusca; Gastropoda; Lepetellida; Haliotidae
Description: uncharacterized LOC124279715
Source: RNAcentral